ACAGUAACCGUAUAGAUUUUUAUUCUCGGGGCAGACGACGCUGCGGCGUGCUAAUACAUGCAAGUCGAGCGAGCUGAAUCAAAGAUCCUUCGGGAUGAUUGUUGGACGCUAGCGGCGGAUGGGUGAGUAACACGUGGGCAAUCUGCCCUAAAGACUGGGAUACCACUUGGAAACAGGUGCUAAUACCGGAUAACAACAUGAAUCGCAUGAUUCAAGUUUGAAAGGCGGCGUAAGCUGUCACUUUAGGAUGAGCCCGCGGCGCAUUAGCUAGUUGGUGGGGUAAAGGCCUACCAAGGCAAUGAUGCGUAGCCGAGUUGAGAGACUGAUCGGCCACAUUGGGACUGAGACACGGCCCAAACUCCUACGGGAGGCAGCAGUAGGGAAUCUUCCACAAUGGACGCAAGUCUGAUGGAGCAACGCCGCGUGAGUGAAGAAGGUUUUCGGAUCGUAAAGCUCUGUUGUUGGUGAAGAAGGAUAGAGGCAGUAACUGGUCUUUAUUUGACGGUAAUCAACCAGAAAGUCACGGCUAACUACGUGCCAGCAGCCGCGGUAAUACGUAGGUGGCAAGCGUUGUCCGGAUUUAUUGGGCGUAAAGCGAGCGCAGGCGGAAUGAUAAGUCUGAUGUGAAAGCCCACGGCUCAACCGUGGAACUGCAUCGGAAACUGUCAUUCUUGAGUGCAGAAGAGGAGAGUGGAAUUCCAUGUGUAGCGGUGGAAUGCGUAGAUAUAUGGAAGAACACCAGUGGCGAAGGCGGCUCUCUGGUCUGCAACUGACGCUGAGGCUCGAAAGCAUGGGUAGCGAACAGGAUUAGAUACCCUGGUAGUCCAUGCCGUAAACGAUGAGCGCUAGGUGUUGGGGACUUCCGGUCCUCAGUGCCGCAGCAAACGCAUAAGCGCUCCGCCUGGGAGUACGACCGCCAAUGG
Molecule: ribosomal RNA, 923 nt
Filed under: Lactobacillus delbrueckii subsp. bulgaricus
Lineage: Bacteria; Bacillati; Bacillota; Bacilli; Lactobacillales; Lactobacillaceae
Description: bacterial SSU rRNA
Rfam family: Bacterial small subunit ribosomal RNA
Source: RNAcentral